Long non-coding RNA from Amblyraja radiata (thorny skate), 449 nucleotides. RefSeq lists it as uncharacterized. Lineage: Eukaryota; Metazoa; Chordata; Chondrichthyes; Rajiformes; Rajidae. The transcript has 3 exons. The record is from RefSeq and is a predicted model, not a curated record.
GGCGCGAGCACAGGCCGCGGGCCCGCCGUCGCCCCUAGCAACGGGCCCAGUGCCCGCCGCUGCAGCCCCCCGCUCCUCCUCAUCAUCAUCAAUGUCGCGCUGCAGCAGAUGACAAGACCUCAAUAACACCUCCUCAUGUACAUAAUGCAACGGAUGCUGCCUAACCCGCUGAGUUACUCCAACACUCUAUUGAGGGCUUUCACUUGUUGAAACAAGGAUGGAGUCAAGGGAUGCCACAGAGAUGGGAAUAGGAAGCCUGAGAAUAUCUUGGAUGUUUGGUUCAAAACUGUUUUCAGGCCAUACUUGACACCAAGGUUGCAAACAGAAUCUGACAGCUGAAAGGGAGGCCAACGAUCACACUGUCAGGUUCACACAUUAUAUAAUGGUGAUGUAAUUACUGGACUCAAACUAUGUGAACAAACUUUCAAUUACUUGUUGAUUUUACAGCA